Molecule: ribosomal RNA, 5099 nt
Filed under: Streptococcus pneumoniae
Lineage: Bacteria; Bacillati; Bacillota; Bacilli; Lactobacillales; Streptococcaceae
Description: 23S ribosomal RNA
Rfam family: Bacterial large subunit ribosomal RNA (bases 3425-5097)
Source: RNAcentral
UACCGCUUCUUGGUGGUAUUUUUGAUUGUCUUGAUAGCUAAAUCCCGUGAAUUUUUCCUCAAUGGUCAUUUUUCUUUCUCCUUUUUGUUCUUGAAUAGUUUUUUGCAAGGUGGAAAUCAAGGUAUCCAGAUGUUGCCUUUCGCGAGUUAGAUAGUCCAACUGCCUAGUCAAAUGGGGCAAUAAAUCUGUCCUUUCUUCCUUUAACAGUUCUGCUAUUUUCUCUAAAGAAAAGCCUAGAUAUUUGUAGUAAAGAAUGACCUGAAGGCGUUCCAAAUCCUCUUGACUAUAGGUUCGAUAGCCCUUUUCCGACUUUAAGGGGACCAAGAGUCCUAUCUUGUCAUAGUGAUGCAGGGUCUUGACAGAGACACCUGAAAGCUGCGCAGCUUCUUUUAUAUGGUACAUGAUUUCCUCCUUACAAUGAUAGUAUAACCCCUCCCCUUAGGUCAGAGUCAAGCGUUUUUGAGAAAAUUUUUUAACUUUUUUGAGAAAGGUGUGAAAACUUGAAAAUGAUUUUCUUGACGGACCUUAGAAAACAUAAUAGGAUAGUCAAGUCUAUCAAUCAAACAGAAGGCUAUUUGACAACUUAAGUAGCUUUUUCUUAUUUUGAAAAAGGAGAUCAGAGUUUAACUAUGUCAGAAAAAUCACAAUGGGGGUCGAAACUUGGCUUUAUUCUAGCAUCUGCUGGCUCGGUCAUCGGGCUUGGUUCCGUUUGGAAGUUUCUCUACAUGACUGCUGCUAAUGGCGGUGGAGGCUUUUUACUAAUCUUUCUCAUUUCCACUAUUUUAAUCGGUUUCCCUCUCCUGCUGGCUGAGUUUGCCCUUGGCCGUAGUGCUGGCGUUUCCGCUAUCAAAACCUUUGGAAAACUGGGCAAGAAUAACAAGUACAACUUUAUCGGUUGGAUUGGCGCCUUUGCCCUCUUUAUCCUCUUAUCUUUUUACAGUGUUAUCGGAGGAUGGAUUCUAGUCUAUCUAGGUAUUGAGUUUGGGAAAUUGUUCCAACUUGGUGGAACGGGUGAUUAUGCUCAGUUAUUUACUUCAAUCAUUUCAAAUCCAGCCAUUGACCUAGGAGCUCAAGCAGCCUUUAUCUUAUUAAAUAUCUUUAUUGUAUCACGUGGGGUUCAAAAAGGGAUUGAAAGAGCUUCGAAAGUCAUGAUGCCCCUGCUCUUUAUCAUCUUUGUUGUUAUCAUCGGUCGCUCUCUCAGUUUGCCAAAUGCCAUGGAAGGGGUUCUUUACUUCCUCAAACCAGACUUUUCAAAACUGACUAGCGCUGGUCUCCUCUAUGCUCUGGGACAAUCUUUCUUUGCCCUCUCACUAGGGGUUACAGUCAUGUUGACCUAUGCUUCUUACUUGGACAAGAAAACCAAUCUAGUCCAGUCAGGAAUCUCCAUCGUAGCCAUGAAUAUCUCGAUAUCCAUCAUGGCAGGUCUAGCCAUUUUCCAAGCUCGGUCCCCCUUCAAUAUCCAGUCUGAAGGGGGAUCGAGCUUGCUCUUUAUCGUCUUGCCUCAACUCUUUGACAAGAUGCCUUUUGGAACCAUUUUCUACGUCCUCUUCCUCUUUGCGACUGUCACUUCUUCUGUCGUGAUGCUGGAGAUCAAUGUGGGCAAUAUCACCAACCAGGAUAACAGCAAACGUGCCAAAUGGAGUGUUAUUUUAGGAAUUUUGACCUUUGUCUUUGGCAUUCCUUCAGCCCUAUCUUACGGUGUCAUGGCGGAUGUUCACAUUUUUGGUAAGACCUUCUUUGACGCUAUGGACUUCUUGGUUUCCAAUCUCCUCAUGCCAUUUGGAGCUCUCUACCUUUCACUUUUUACAGGCUAUAUCUUUAAAAAGGUUCUUGCAAUGGAGGAACUCCAUCUCGAUGAAAGAGCAUGGAAACAAGGACUGUUCCAAGUCUGGCUCUUCCUUCUUCGUUUCUUCGUUCCGUCAUUCCAAUCAUCAUCGUGGUCUUCAUCGCCCAAUUUAUGUAAUCAAAAGGACUUGAGUAAUGAACUCAGGCCCUUUCUUUUUUAUGGAUGACUAACAAUUAAUUCUAAAUCUUGCCCUUCCAGAGUCCAAGCUUCAACAUCACUUGGUAGGAUAAAGUGUCUCCCUUUUUGGAUUGGAUAGUUUUUCCCGUCAACAGUUAGUUGACCUUGACCAGCCAAGACACUCAACAAGCUGUAGUCAGCUGUCUUUUCAAAGUUAACUUUUCCAGUAAUUUCCCAUUUGUAAACUGCGAAGAAAUCAUUGGAUACAAGGAGAGUGGAACGUAGAUCAUCUGCUUUGAUUGUCACUGGACGGCUAUUUGCGGGUUCACCAAUGUUCAAGACAUCGAUAGAUUUUUCAAGGUGAAGUUCACGUAAAUUGCCCUUGUCAUCCUUACGGUCAAAGUCAUAGACACGGUAAGUGGUAUCGCUAGACUGCUGGGUUUCAAGAAUCAAGAUACCCGCCCCGAUAGCGUGCAUGGUACCGCUUGGUACAUAGAAGAAAUCUCCUGCUUUAACUGGCACUUUUGUCAACAGCGCAUCCCAGUUCUUAUCCUCGAUUUGCUGGCGGAGUUCUUCUUUUGACUUGGCAUUGUGACCGUAGAUAAUCUCUGAACCUUCAUCCGCUGCGAUAAUGUACCAGCAUUCUGUUUUUCCGAGUUCGCCUUCAUGCUCGAGUCCAUAAGCAUCGUCUGGGUGAACUUGGACACUGAGCCAGUCGUUGGCAUCGAGGAUCUUGGUCAAAAGUGGAAAUACAGGUUCUGGACGAUUGCCAAAUAAUUCACGGUGUUCCGCAUACAAAGUAGCAAGAUCUGUUCCCUCGUAACGACCAUUGGCAACUUUAGAGACUCCAUUUGGAUGGGCUGAGAUGGCCCAAUAUUCUCCGAUUUUUUCACUUGGGAUGUCGUAGCCAAACUCAUCACGUAGCUUGGCUCCACCCCAGAUUUUUUCUUGCAUAACUGAUUGUAAAAAUAAUGGUUCUGACAUGUCGAUCUCCUGUCUGAUUUUUCUCCCCUCAUUAUAGCAAAAAAAGAGUUCGAAUUGAACUCUUUUUUACAUCUUAUAAAGCAGGGAGAAGAUUUUAUAAAAAUAGUAAACAAAUGUGCUCUACCCGAUGCUUGCACCAUUGCUAUCAAUGACAUCCUUGUACCAAUAGAAGGACUUCUUCUUGCUACGUUUGAGAGCUCCGUUUCCUACAUUAUCUCGAUCUACAUAGAUAAAGCCAUAGCGCUUAUUCAUUUCCCCUGUGCCAGCUGAAACCGGAUCGAUACAGCCCCAAGUCGUAUAACCAAGCAAGUCAACCCCGUCUUGGUAAAUGGCAUCUCGCAUGGCCUUGAUGUGGGCCUCUAAGUAAGUAAUCCGAUAGUUAUCUGCUACAUAACCAUUCUCAUCCGGUGUAUCCAUAGCACCGAGUCCAUUUUCUACGAUAAUACUAAACUAAAAUCAAAAAGUAUUAUAUAAUAGUGAUAUGAAAUCAACUAAAGAAGAAAUCCAAACCAUCAAAACACUUUUAAAAGACUCUCGUACAGCUAAAUAUCAUAAACACCUUCAAAUCGUUCUAUAGUAAAAUGAAAUAAGAACAGUACAAAUCGAUUAGGACAGUCAAAUNGGGACCUAAGGAGAGACCGAAAGGUGUAUCCGAUGGACAACAGGUUGAUAUUCCUGUACUAGAGUAUGUAGUGAUGGAGGGACGCAGUAGGCUAACUAAAGCAGACGAUUGGAAGAGUCUGUCUAAGCAGUGAGGUGUGAAUUGAGUCAAAUGCUUAAUUCUAUAACAUUGAGCUGUGAUGGGGAGCGAAGUUUAGUAGCGAAGUUAGUGACGUCACACUGCCAAGAAAAGCUUCUAGCGUUUAAACAUACUCUACCCGUACCGCAAACCGACACAGGUAGUCGAGGCGAGUAGCCUCAGGUGAGCGAGAGAACUCUCGUUAAGGAACUCGGCAAAAUGACCCCGUAACUUCGGGAGAAGGGGUGCUGACUUUAAGUCAGCCGCAGUGAAUAGGCCCAAGCAACUGUUUAUCAAAAACACAGCUCUCUGCUAAAUCGUAAGAUGAUGUAUAGGGGGUGACGCCUGCCCGGUGCUGGAAGGUUAAGAGGAGUGCUUAGCGUAAGCGAAGGUAUGAAUUGAAGCCCCAGUAAACGGCGGCCGUAACUAUAACGGUCCUAAGGUAGCGAAAUUCCUUGUCGGGUAAGUUCCGACCCGCACGAAAGGCGUAAUGAUUUGGGCACUGUCUCAACGAGAGACUCGGUGAAAUUUUAGUACCUGUGAAGAUGCAGGUUACCCGCGACAGGACGGAAAGACCCCAUGGAGCUUUACUGCAGUUUGAUAUUGAGUGUCUGUACCACAUGUACAGGAUAGGUAGGAGUCUAAGAGAUCGGGACGCCAGUUUCGAAGGAGACGCUGUUGGGAUACUACCCUUGUGUUAUGGCCACUCUAACCCAGAUAGGUGAUCCCUAUCGGAGACAGUGUCUGACGGGCAGUUUGACUGGGGCGGUCGCCUCCUAAAAGGUAACGGAGGCGCCCAAAGGUUCCCUCAGAAUGGUUGGAAAUCAUUCGCAGAGUGUAAAGGUAUAAGGGAGCUUGACUGCGAGAGCUACAACUCGAGCAGGGACGAAAGUCGGGCUUAGUGAUCCGGUGGUUCCGUAUGGAAGGGCCAUCGCUCAACGGAUAAAAGCUACCCUGGGGAUAACAGGCUUAUCUCCCCCAAGAGUUCACAUCGACGGGGAGGUUUGGCACCUCGAUGUCGGCUCGUCGCAUCCUGGGGCUGUAGUCGGUCCCAAGGGUUGGGCUGUUCGCCCAUUAAAGCGGCACGCGAGCUGGGUUCAGAACGUCGUGAGACAGUUCGGUCCCUAUCCGUCGCGGGCGUAGGAAAUUUGAGAGGAUCUGCUCCUAGUACGAGAGGACCAGAGUGGACUUACCGCUGGUGUACCAGUUGUCUUGCCAAAGGCAUCGCUGGGUAGCUAUGUAGGGAAGGGAUAAACGCUGAAAGCAUCUAAGUGUGAAACCCACCUCAAGAUGAGAUUUCCCAUGAUUAUAUAUCAGUAAGAGCCCUGAGAGAUGAUCAGGUAGAUAGGUUAGAAGUGGAAGUGUGGCGACACAUGUAGCGGACUAAUACUAAUAGCUCGAGGACUUAUCCAA